Molecule: ribosomal RNA, 253 nt
Filed under: uncultured bacterium
Lineage: Bacteria
Description: partial 16S ribosomal RNA
Rfam family: Bacterial small subunit ribosomal RNA
Source: RNAcentral
CACGUAGGGCGCGAGCGUUGUCCGGAAUCAUUGGGCGUAAAGGGCGCGUAGGUGGCUUCUUAAGCGUGCGGUGAAAGCCUGGGGCUCAACCCCGGGUCGGCCGUGCGAACUGGGGGGCUGGAGCACUGUAGAGGCAGGCGGAAUUCCGGGUGUAGCGGUGGAAUGCGUAGAGAUCCGGAAGAACACCGGUGGCGAAGGCGGCCUGCUGGGCAGUUGCUGACACUGAGGCGCGACAGCGUGGGGAGCAAACAGG